GCCUCGAUCAGAUUGUGGUUAAGGAACUCGGCAAAAUGCCCCCGUAACUUCGGGAGAAGGGGGGCCUGAGACGUGAACACCCUCGCGGUGGGAGCGUUGGAUGGCCGCAGAGACCAGGGGAAAGCGACUGUUUACUAAAAACACAGGUCCGUGCGAAGUCGUAAGACGAUGUAUACGGACUGACGCCUGCCCGGUGCCGGAAGGUUAAGAGGACCGGUUAGCGCUUCGGCGCGAAGCUGAGAAUUUAAGCCCCGGUAAACGGCGGUGGUAACUAUAACCAUCCUAAGGUAGCGAAAUUCCUUGUCGGGUAAGUUCCGACCUGCACGAAUGGCGUAACGACUUCUCUGCUGUCUCAACCACAGACUCGGCGAAAUUGCAUUACGAGUAAAGAUGCUCGUUACGCGCGGCAGCACCAUGAU
Molecule: ribosomal RNA, 419 nt
Filed under: uncultured bacterium
Lineage: Bacteria
Description: bacterial LSU rRNA
Rfam family: Bacterial large subunit ribosomal RNA
Source: RNAcentral